UUUGUCGGACAUCUCAUUCUGUGCUGGAAACACUGGGAGGCAGGAAGUUUGAAAAAAACGGCCACUGCCGCCCCUAAUGUCUCGGUCGUGGGUUCGUUAUGCCACUUGUGCGUCAUUCUAAGCCGUUCUGUACAUUUAUACUGGAUAUUAAUUGGAGUCAUUUAGCUGUGCUGAUUCUGCUUGCCGUGUGUUUUGCAUCAGUGCUUCGUGACAUCGGCUGUAUUACGUGUUUUCGCCGACGGCUUACUACCACAAUGGCGUGAUCUGCGUUCGCCGCCUUCGUGUCUCGGUGCGUCUUUGUAUACGUCGCACGUUCGGACAACACUUUUUCCGACGGCUGGACAUCCUUCUUGUACCUUGGCGCUAGCUGGAUGACGGGACCUCAUCAUGAUCAGUGUAUUGCUUGCCUAUGUCUACAAGAACCGUCACACGUGGCCUGUGACAGCAAGCUUUUGUGGGCAGCAAGUGCUCUCCUACGAAGGCUGGCCUACUCUGGCAGCGGCGGCAAUCAUCUUCAAGAUUUAUCCAUGAUCACCUUUGCUGCUAUUUCUCACUCUUGUUAAUUACACUUCCUGCAUCUUUUCUAAUUUAUUAGGUAAUAAAGUAUGAGUAUGUGA
This 617-nucleotide long non-coding RNA is filed under the name Dermacentor andersoni. RNAcentral describes it as "uncharacterized LOC126535602". Lineage: Eukaryota; Metazoa; Arthropoda; Arachnida; Ixodida; Ixodidae. The record is from RNAcentral.